Molecule: ribosomal RNA, 1413 nt
Filed under: Nodularia sp. CENA399
Lineage: Bacteria; Bacillati; Cyanobacteriota; Cyanophyceae; Nostocales; Nodulariaceae
Description: bacterial SSU rRNA
Rfam family: Bacterial small subunit ribosomal RNA
Source: RNAcentral
GAUGAACGCUGGCGGUAUGCUUAACACAUGCAAGUCGAACGGUCUCUUCGGAGAUAGUGGCGGACGGGUGAGUAACGCGUGAGAAUCUAGCUUUAGGUCGGGGACAACCACGGGAGACUGUGGCUAAUACCGGAUAUGCCGAGAGGUGAAAGGCUUGCUGCCUAAAGAUGAGCUCGCGUCUGAUUAGCUAGUAGGUGUGGUAAAAGCGCACCUAGGCGACGAUCAGUAGCUGGUCUGAGAGGAUGAUCGGCCACACUGGGACUGAGACACGGCCCAGACUCCUACGGGAGGCAGCAGUGGGGGAUUUUCCGCAAUGGGCGAAAGCCUGACGGAGCAAUACCGCGUGAGGGAGGAAGGCUCUUGGGUUGUAAACCUCUUUUCUCAGGGAAGAAAAAAAUGACGGUACCUGAGGAAUAAGCAUCGGCUAACUCCGUGCCAGCAGCCGCGGUAAUACGGAGGAUGCAAGCGUUAUCCGGAAUGAUUGGGCGUAAAGGGUCCGCAGGUGGCAAUGUAAGUCUGCUGUUAAAGAAUCUAGCUCAACUAGAUAAAAGCAGUGGAAACUACACAGCUAGAGUGCGUUCGGGGUAGAGGGAAUUCCUGGUGUAGCGGUGAAAUGCGUAGAUAUCAGGAAGAACACCAGUGGCGAAGGCGCUCUACUAGGCCGCAACUGACACUGAGGGACGAAAGCUAGGGGAGCGAAUGGGAUUAGAUACCCCAGUAGUCCUAGCCGUAAACGAUGGAUACUAGGCGUGGCUUGUAUCGACCCGAGCCGUGCCGGAGCUAACGCGUUAAGUAUCCUGCCUGGGGAGUACGCACGCAAGUGUGAAACUCAAAGGAAUUGACGGGGGCCCGCACAAGCGGUGGAGUAUGUGGUUUAAUUCGAUGCAACGCGAAGAACCUUACCAAGACUUGACAUGUCGCGAAUCCCGGUGAAAGCUGUGAGUGCCUUCGGGAGCGCGAACACAGGUGGUGCAUGGCUGUCGUCAGAUCGUGUCGUGAGAUGUUGGGUUAAGUCCCGCAACGAGCGCAACCCUCGUUUUUAGUUGCCAGCAUUAAGAUGGGCACUCUAGAGAGACUGCCGGUGACAAACCGGAGGAAGGUGGGGAUGACGUCAAGUCAGCAUGCCCCUUACGUCUUGGGCUACACACGUACUACAAUGCUACGGACAAAGGGCAGCUACACAGCGAUGUGAUGCAAAUCUCAGAAACCGUAGCUCAGUUCAGAUCGCAGGCUGCAACUCGCCUGCGUGAAGGAGGAAUCGCUAGUAAUUGCAGGUCAGCAUACUGCAGUGAAUUCGUUCCCGGGCCUUGUACACACCGCCCGUCACACCAUGGAAGCUGGUCACGCCCGAAGUCGUUACCCCAACUUUUCGGAGAGGGGGAUGCCGAAGGCAGGACUGGUGACUGGGGUGAA